CAUUUAAUUUUUUUCCUUUAUCAAAAAUCAUCUAUAAAUGCUGAGGAUGAACCCGGGAGUGUCAUCAUACUGUUACUCUGUCAGUUUGCUUGCUCAUGGUGCGGUGUGUUAUCCUCUCCUCUGCUCUGCUCUGCUCCUGGUUCGUGUGAUCCUCAAGUGAUACAUUCAUCCAUCCGUCCGUCUGUCCGUCUGUCCGUCCUCGUUUUUAGCCGAUAUUCAAAAAGUCUCACACCAUCCAUCAUAGACACCACCCUCGCCUCCAGCAGCAACAACAACAACAACAACAACAACAACAACAACAACAUGCAGAUCCGUCAUAUUUGUCCGAUAAUUCAGUCACAUUUCAAUGUUUGGGUGGGGACCCCCGCACCCCGACCACUUAUGAUUAGUAUUAUGGGGCCUGGCAGUAUGGAGCAGGAAACACUCCACCGUCUUGGAGAGGAGAUAUCCUCUUGGAUAUCAUUGGGAUCAGUCUCUGUAUCGAAAAAAAAUGUUGCAGGAGGAUAUGACCUCACCAAGGCGGAGGGCGUGUUUACCAUAGUGUAUUGGCCGACAGAGGGGGAGACGAGUCUAUCCCUGGUAUUGAUGGGAGGAUGAUACAAUAUUGGGGAUAGGUUUCUCUCUCUCCCUGUCCCCUGUCCCCUUCACCUAUCUGAUUUAUAUAUGUAUAUAUUUUUAUCCAUGUUUAAAAAAAAAAAAAAAUAAAGCGAGGAGUCGAUGAGUAAAUACCAGAGUUUUUUUUCUUUCUUCCUUUUUCUCUCUCUUUGAGAAUGGGUGGGUGGGUAUGAUACUAAACUAAUGAGUGAUUUACAAUGCAGGGUGAGCAGACACAGGGCUCUAUCUCUGAUAAUGUUGAGUUAAAUUCGAGGAUUAACACAUGAUAAUCCUAGGAUUUAGCCCCAACAGGAGAUAGGUUCCCUCUGCUGCGUUACCCUCACACUUGUUCCAUAUAUGGAGUAGAUAAAGAAGUAAUAUUUUUUCAUCUUCUGUUUAUCCAUGAAUUUUACAAAAACAUUAAUACGAAACCUUAAAGGUUUGAUCUAGCGAUUGUCUCAUCCUCAAGUUUAGAGUUUUCAGUUCACCUUCCUUCGGCUGGUGUUUAUAAGAUGAGAAAAAAAACUGAGGUCUCUCAUAUCAAAACGUACAAUCUCCAUUUACAGGAAACCUGUAUCAUUUUGUUGUAAAAGCCAGAUUUUAUGAAGGAUAUAGUUCUUUUUGCACCGAAAUAAAUCCAGAUUCGGAUUCCUCUCUUAAAACUGAAGCAGAAUUUUUUCCUAACUCAUUUGACCCUCCUGGAAUGGAGAUUGUACGUUUUGAUAUGAGAUGCCUCGACUAAAGUCUGUUGGUAUUCAAUUAAAUUCAUAUGAGAGAUCACAUACGGGGAAAAUUUAAAUGGCUGUUGAUGGAAAAAAUUUGAAAACGUAAUCAUACACUCGAAUUUUUCAAUCUUUAAUUUUCAAAAAUCGCCCGGUCCCCCGGGAAUAAGUGUGAUUUCCCCCUGGGAAUAAGUGUGAUUUCCCCCGUUCAAUGUUGCUCGGUGCCACCACAGCAGCAGCAGCAGCAGCAGCAGCAGCAGCAUGAAAAGGAGGUUGUCAUUUUAUACACCAAACUGGUAACGAUUAAGCUUUCCCGACGCCUCCUGAUAGGUAGGCAAGCCGCAACAAUAAACCAGUCGCUAGUAUCGUCAAACCAUAGUAGAAAAAAUCAUGCACCAUACCCCACCCCUCAUCCCAAAAUAAGUCAGAUUUUUCCGCUCAAUUUUUCAUCAUUGGUGUGACGUCACAACAUGAAAAUAUUGUUGUCAGAUCAUUCACUAAAACAUACAUCACUCCGCUAAUUAAUCAACAUUUUCCUGCACAGUCUGGCAACGUAGGUGAUUGGUAGGCAACCCGCGACAAUCGCCACACCGAUUCCCUCUGUCUGGUGCCGCCUUAAAUGUCAAAGGUCAAGUGCCCCAAUAUCCUCAUAUAUACACUACUGAUGCUU
RNAcentral lists this long non-coding RNA (1986 nucleotides) under Bemisia tabaci. RNAcentral's name for it is "lncRNA ENSASIAIIG002618". The record is from RNAcentral. Lineage: Eukaryota; Metazoa; Arthropoda; Insecta; Hemiptera; Aleyrodidae.